Molecule: ribosomal RNA, 231 nt
Filed under: uncultured bacterium
Lineage: Bacteria
Description: partial 16S ribosomal RNA
Rfam family: Bacterial small subunit ribosomal RNA
Source: RNAcentral
CGGGUGAGUAACACGUAUCCAACCUGCCGUCUACUCUUGGACAGCCUUCUGAAAGGAAGAUUAAUACAAGAUGGCAUCAUGAGUUCACAUGUUCACAUGAUUAAAGGUAUUCCGGUAGACGAUGGGGAUGCGUUCCAUUAGAUAGUAGGCGGGGUAACGGCCCACCAAGGCGACGAUCGGUAGCCGGACUGAGAGGUUGAACGGCCACAUUGGGACUGAGACACGGCCCAG